RNAcentral lists this transfer RNA (90 nucleotides) under Nemania abortiva. RNAcentral describes it as "tRNA-Pro". It matches the Rfam family "tRNA". From Rfam's summary of the family: Transfer RNA (tRNA) molecules are approximately 80 nucleotides in length. Their secondary structure includes four short double-helical elements and three loops (D, anti-codon, and T loops). The record is from RNAcentral. RNAcentral also lists the same sequence under 1 other name. Lineage: Eukaryota; Fungi; Ascomycota; Sordariomycetes; Xylariales; Xylariaceae.
GGCUUGGUGGUCUAGUGGUAUGAUUCUCGCUUAGGGUACACCCGAAAGCAAAUGUGCGAGAGGUCCCGGGUUCAAUCCCCGGCCAAGCCC